GAUGAAGAACGCAGCGAAAUGCGAUAAGUAAUGUGAAUUGCAGAAUUCAGUGAAUCAUCGAAUCUUUGAACGCACCUUGCGCCCUUUGGCCAUUCCGAAGGGCAUGCCUGUUUGAGUAUCAUGAACACCUCAACUCUCAUGGCUCGCCAUGAUGAGCUUGGACUUUGGGGGUCUUGCUGGCCUGUGGUCGGCUCCUCUCAAAUGGAUCAGCUUGCCAGUGUUUGGUGGCAUCACAGGUGUGAUAACUAUCUGCGCUUGUGGUUUUCCAUCAGAUAACCUUCAGUGAUGGAGGUUCGCUGGAGCUCAUAAACGUCUCCCCUAAGCGGGGACAGCCCUUUGAAUGUUUGAUCUCAAAUCAGGUAGGACUACCCGCUGAACUUAAGCAUAUCAAUAAGCGGGGA
RNAcentral lists this unclassified non-coding RNA (401 nucleotides) under soil metagenome. RNAcentral's name for it is "partial contains 5.8S ribosomal RNA, internal transcribed spacer 2, and large subunit ribosomal RNA". The stretch from base 1 to 121 matches the Rfam family "5.8S ribosomal RNA", at positions 35 to 154 of the family's 154-position model. The record is from RNAcentral.